Molecule: transfer RNA, 82 nt
Filed under: Frankiaceae bacterium
Lineage: Bacteria; Bacillati; Actinomycetota; Actinomycetes; Frankiales; Frankiaceae
Rfam family: tRNA
About the family: Transfer RNA (tRNA) molecules are approximately 80 nucleotides in length. Their secondary structure includes four short double-helical elements and three loops (D, anti-codon, and T loops).
Source: Rfam by way of RNAcentral
GCGCGCUUGGCGGAACUGGCAGACGCCCCGGCUUUAGGUGCCGGUGCCCUCGGGCGUGGGGGUUCGAGUCCCCCAGCGCGCA